AAUCCUCGGAACUAUGGUAAGGAGCAGCAUGGGUAUCAGCCAUAUGCUCCAUCGAUGCCAUUGAACCAAGUACAACCGGGACAACCAGGAUCGUUUUCUCAACCUACAUGGAACAAACCUAGUAGGUAUAUACCAGUGGAGACACCCAAUAUGCCUGAUGGGGGUGCAAAAAGGCCAUUGCGUUGUUUCCGUUGUAGACAGAUUGGUCA
This 209-nucleotide long non-coding RNA is filed under the name Physcomitrium patens. RNAcentral describes it as "long non-coding RNA (PPAT_LNC014476)". The record is from RNAcentral. Lineage: Eukaryota; Viridiplantae; Streptophyta; Bryopsida; Funariales; Funariaceae.